RNAcentral lists this ribosomal RNA (768 nucleotides) under uncultured bacterium. RNAcentral's name for it is "bacterial SSU rRNA". It matches the Rfam family "Bacterial small subunit ribosomal RNA", at positions 62 to 816 of the family's 1533-position model. The record is from RNAcentral.
UCGAGGGGCAGCGGUGGUGAAGGCUUGCCUUUACCAGCCGGCGACCUGCGCACGGGUGAGUAACACGUAUGCAACCUGCCUGCCACAGCCGGAUAAUCGGGAGAAAUUCCGUCUAAUACGGCAUAAUGCAUCGACGGGACAUCCUGUUGGUGCCAAAGGUUAAUUCCGGUGGCGGAUGGGCAUGCGUCGCAUUAGUUAGUUGGCGGUGUAACGGACCACCAAGACGACGAUGCGUAGGGGUUCUGAGAGGAAGGUCCCCCACACUGGUACUGAGACACGGACCAGACUCCUACGGGAGGCAGCAGUGAGGAAUAUUGGUCAAUGGGCGGGAGCCUGAACCAGCCAAGUCGCGUGAGGGAUGACGGCCCUAUGGGUUGUAAACCUCUUUUGCCGGGGAGCAAAGUGCCGCACGUGUGCGGUUUGGAGAGUACCCGGAGAAAAAGCAUCGGCUAACUCCGUGCCAGCAGCCGCGGUAAUACGGAGGAUGCGAGCGUUAUCCGGAUUUAUUGGGUUUAAAGGGUGCGUAGGCGGACGCUUAAGUCAGCGGUAAAAUUGCGGGGCUCAACCUCGUCGAGCCGUUGAAACUGGAGACCUUGAGUGCGCGGAAGGCAGGCGGAAUUCGUGGUGUAGCGGUGAAAUGCUUAGAUAUCACGAAGAACCCCGAUUGCGAAGGCAGCCUGCCGCAGCGUUACUGACGCUGAAGCUCGAAAGCGCGGGUAUCGAACAGGAUUAGAUACCCUGGUAGUCCGCGCGGUAAACGAUGGAUGC